UGGGGGAUAUUGCACAAUGGGCGAAAGCCUGAUGCAGCGACGCCGCGUGGGGGAUGAAGGCUUUCGGGUUGUAAACCUCUUUCGCUAUCGAACAAGGCCCGCUUAGGGUGGGUUGAGGGUAGGUGGAGAAGAAGCGCCGGCUAACUACGUGCCAGCAGCCGCGGUAAUACGUAGGGCGCGAGCGUUGUCCGGAAUUAUUGGGCGUAAAGGGCUUGUAGGCGGCUUGUUGCGCCUGCUGUGAAAACGCGGGGCUUAACUUCGCGCGUGCAGUGGGUACGGGCAGGCAUGAGUGUGGUAGGGGUGACUGGAAUUCCAGGUGUAGCGGUGGAAUGCGCAGAUAUCUGGAGGAACACCGAUGGCGAAGGCAGGUCACUGGGCCAUUACUGACGCUGAGGAGCGAAAGCAUGGGUAGCGAACAGG
RNAcentral lists this ribosomal RNA (420 nucleotides) under bacterium. RNAcentral's name for it is "partial 16S ribosomal RNA". It matches the Rfam family "Bacterial small subunit ribosomal RNA", at positions 355 to 776 of the family's 1533-position model. The record is from RNAcentral.